GGCCGGUUGGUGUAGUUGGUUAUCACGUAUCGUUAACACCGAUAAGGUCGCCGGAUCGAGCCCGGCACUGGUCA
Non-coding RNA from Aspergillus nidulans FGSC A4, 74 nucleotides. The record is from Rfam. NCBI's taxonomy places the organism in Eukaryota, Fungi, Ascomycota, Eurotiomycetes, Eurotiales, Aspergillaceae.